CAAGUCGAACGGUAACAGGAAGCAGCUUGCUGCUUUGCUGACGAGUGGCGGACGGGUGAGUAAUGUCUGGGAAACUGCCUGAUGGAGGGGGAUAACUACUGGAAACGGUGGCUAAUACCGCAUAACGUCGCAAGACCAAAGAGGGGGACCUUCGGGCCUCUUGCCAUCAGAUGUGCCCAGAUGGGAUUAGCUUGUUGGUGAGGUAACGGCUCACCAAGGCGACGAUCCCUAGCUGGUCUGAGAGGAUGACCAGCCACACUGGAACUGAGACACGGUCCAGACUCCUACGGGAGGCAGCAGUGGGGAAUAUUGCACAAUGGGCGCAAGCCUGAUGCAGCCAUGCCGCGUGUAUGAAGAAGGCCUUCGGGUUGUAAAGUACUUUCAGCGGGGAGGAAGGUGUUGUGGUUAAUAACCGCAGCAAUUGACGUUACCCGCAGAAGAAGCACCGGCUAACUCCGUGCCAGCAGCCGCGGUAAUACGGAGGGUGCAAGCGUUAAUCGGAAUUACUGGGCGUAAAGCGCACGCAGGCGGUCUGUCAAGUCGGAUGUGAAAUCCCCGGGCUCAACCUGGGAACUGCAUUCGAAACUGGCAGGCUUGAGUCUUGUAGAGGGGGGUAGAAUUCCAGGUGUAGCGGUGAAAUGCGUAGAGAUCUGGAGGAAUACCGGUGGCGAAGGCGGCCCCCUGGACAAAGACUGACGCUCAGGUGCGAAAGCGUGGGGAGCAAACAGGAUUAGAUACCCUGGUAGUCCACGCCGUAAACGAUGUCUACUUGGAGGUUGUGCCCUUGAGGCGUGGCUUCCGGAGCUAACGCGUUAAGUAGACCGCCUGGGGAGUACGGCCGCAAGGUUAAAACUCAAAUGAAUUGACGGGGGCCCGCACAAGCGGUGGAGCAUGUGGUUUAAUUCGAUGCAACGCGAAGAACCUUACCUGGUCUUGACAUCCACAGAAGAAUCCAGAGAUGGAUUUGUGCCUUCGGGAACUGUGAGACAGGUGCUGCAUGGCUGUCGUCAGCUCGUGUUGUGAAAUGUUGGGUUAAGUCCCGCAACGAGCGCAACCCUUAUCCUUUGUUGCCAGCGGUUAGGCCGGGAACUCAAAGGAGACUGCCAGUGAUAAACUGGAGGAAGGUGGGGAUGACGUCAAGUCAUCAUGGCCCUUACGACCAGGGCUACACACGUGCUACAAUGGCGCAUACAAAGAGAAGCGACCUCGCGAGAGCAAGCGGACCUCAUAAAGUGCGUCGUAGUCCGGAUUGGAGUCUGCAACUCGACUCCAUGAAGUCGGAAUCGCUAGUAAUCGUGGAUCAGAAUGCCACGGUGAAUACGUUCCCGGGCCUUGUACACACCGCCCGUCACACCAUGGGAGUGGGUUGCAAAAGAAGUAGGUAGCUUAACCUUCGGGAGGGCGCUUACCACUUUGUGAUUCAUGACUGGGGUGAAGUCGUAACAAGGUAACCGUAGGGGAACCUGCGGUUGGAUCACCUCCUUACCUUAAAGAA
RNAcentral lists this ribosomal RNA (1495 nucleotides) under Salmonella enterica subsp. enterica serovar Enteritidis. Its description in RNAcentral is "bacterial SSU rRNA". It matches the Rfam family "Bacterial small subunit ribosomal RNA". Lineage: Bacteria; Pseudomonadati; Pseudomonadota; Gammaproteobacteria; Enterobacterales; Enterobacteriaceae. The record is from RNAcentral.